CCUACGGGUGGCAGCAGUGGGGAAUAUUGCUCAAUGGGGGAAACCCUGAAGCAGCGACGCCGCGUGAGGGAUGAAGGAUUUCGGGAUGUAAAGCCCUAUUAGCAGGGAAGAAAAUGACGGUACCUGACGAAGAAGCGCCGGCUAACUACGUGCCAGCAGCCGCGGUAAUACGGAGGGGGCAAGCGUUACUCGGAAUUACUGGGCGUAAAGGGAGCGUAGGCGGGAGAACAAGUCAGAUGUGAAAACCUAGGGCUUAACCGUCGAACUGCCUUUGAAACUGGUUCUCUAGAGUGUAGGAGAGGUAUGCGGAAUUCGUGGUGUAGCGGUGAAAUGCGUAGAUAUCACGAGGAACACCGAUUGCGAAGGCGGCUUGCCGGAUUCUAACUGACGCUGAUGCGCGAAAGCGUGGGGAGCAAACAGGAUUAGAUACCCGGGUAGUC
RNAcentral lists this ribosomal RNA (440 nucleotides) under uncultured bacterium. Its description in RNAcentral is "partial 16S ribosomal RNA". It matches the Rfam family "Bacterial small subunit ribosomal RNA", at positions 338 to 795 of the family's 1533-position model. The record is from RNAcentral.